Molecule: small nuclear RNA, 106 nt
Filed under: Thrips palmi
Lineage: Eukaryota; Metazoa; Arthropoda; Insecta; Thysanoptera; Thripidae
Source: RNAcentral
GUACUCGCUUCGGCGGUACAUAUACUAACUUUGGGAACGAUAGAGAAGAUAAGCAUGGCCGCUGCGCAAGGAUGACACGCGAAAUCGUGACGCGUUUCAGGGUUUU